GCUGAAAGCCUCUUGUCCCACUGGUCCUGGCAUUUACUCAACCAGAUCUUUGCAAACAGUUAAAUCAGGCACUCCGUGUCUCUGCAGUUUAGAGUGAUCAACAAAAGGAGCCCUUUCUUUGGAGUGCAAGCUUUGUAGCCAGUCAAAGAAUGCAACAGACAUGAGAUGCAAGCGCAGUUACAACUCAUUCUUCCGUCAGUCUCCAAUGAUCUUUCAACUGUGAAGCAGCUCUUGUCAGUCUGCAGUACUACCCGGGUGACAUCCAGGUUUGGCUGAAAGAUUUCAAAAAAUAUGCAAACCUCAAAGGGCCAGGUAAUGACCACCUCUAGCAACAACAUGGCCUUCAAUGACAUGACGAGUCUUGUUAACAGGGCCCAUC
Molecule: long non-coding RNA, 379 nt
Organism: Amblyraja radiata (thorny skate)
Lineage: Eukaryota; Metazoa; Chordata; Chondrichthyes; Rajiformes; Rajidae
Exons: 3
Source: RefSeq, a predicted model, not a curated record